GAUGAAGAACGUAGCGAAAUGCGAUACGUAAUGUGAAUUGCAGAAUUCAGUGAAUCAUCGAAUCUUUGAACGCACAUUGCGCCUGCCAGAACUCUGGCAGGCAUGCCUGUUCGUGCGUCAUUUCAACCAUCAAGCCCUAGGCUUGCGUUGGAGCCCUGCGGCUGCCGCAGGCCCCUAAAAGCAGUGGCGGGCUCGCUAUCACACCGAGUGCAGUAGAUUACUCUUCGCUCAGGGCGUGUGGCGGGUUCCAGCCGUGAAACCCCCUACUUCUCAAGGUUGACCUCGGAUCAGGUAGGAAUACCCGCUGAACUUAAGCAUAUCAAUAAGCGGAGGA
RNAcentral lists this unclassified non-coding RNA (334 nucleotides) under soil metagenome. RNAcentral describes it as "partial contains 5.8S ribosomal RNA, internal transcribed spacer 2, and large subunit ribosomal RNA". The stretch from base 1 to 120 matches the Rfam family "5.8S ribosomal RNA", at positions 35 to 154 of the family's 154-position model. The record is from RNAcentral.